Molecule: transfer RNA, 76 nt
Filed under: Aplidium tabarquensis
Lineage: Eukaryota; Metazoa; Chordata; Ascidiacea; Aplousobranchia; Polyclinidae
Description: transfer RNA-Asn
Source: RNAcentral
UGGAUAUUAGCAUAAAUAUUUUAAUGCGAAAUAAUUGUUAAUUAUUUGAUAUUGUUUUUAUGUUCAAAGUUUUUAG